UUUGGGAAAUGGCCACUGAUAAUGGAUGCUGAUAACUUGAUAAGCAAUAAUAUGUCAAUGUAAUAAAGGUGUCAACAUAGUGUCAACUUUAAGCGUCAAUUGGUGUCAAUUUUUGAGUGGGCAUUUUUUGCAAAUUGAAUGUGGGAUAACACAAUUGCUUAUCAGCGUCCUUAUGCUUGACUAAGUUUACAAUGCCGCAUUGUUGUGCAUUUGGAUGUUCGAAGAAAGGUGCGGUGCUGCACGUUUUUCCAAAUCCAAACAAACACCCUGAUCGAUUUAAAGUUUGGGUUCAGCUUAUUGGGGGCAAGUUGGGCACCCCAUCAGAUUAUGAAUUUUAUAAGAAAAAGAGGAUUUGCGAUCUUCAUUUUACCGAAGAACAUAGGAAUCGCUUUAAGCGAUUAAAUGCUAUAGCAGUACCGACCCUAUGUCUACUUGAUGACUCUACCAGCGCGAGCUACGCGCUACGAGCAUAGCCGACAACAUGAGAAUCCACCACAACAUCCACCUUUCAAGAUGUUGCUCCUGUAACUGACAUUCAGCCCACCUUUCAUUCUGCUGCUUCUGCGCCAGGCACAUCAUGCGCCCAACAUAAGUACUUCUCUUGGGAUUCACAAUCAACCUACCUUUCAUUUCGCUACUUCUGCCCCAGGGUGGCCCCAGGCACCAGGCACUGCCAGCGCCCAACAUUUGCUCCUAGAAUUGACUAUCAGCACAUCUUUCAUUCUGCUGCUUCUAUGCCAGUUACGCCCGCUAUACAACAGUGAGGUGCCUACCAUCAUCAACAACGUAUGUACUGCAGAUUCUUCUGUAUUUGCAGAACAUAAUUAUAGUGUGAUGAGUCGUUCGAAAAGAAAGACAUUAGAUGAAGGUUCGAACAAACGUGAGGUGCAGCUUAAGGUAAAACAACUUCAAAUGGAAGAUAACCGUUUGCCCAAAAGGGGACUUUCAUACAAGCACUGCCGCGUUCCAGACAGUAUGACAUUGUGCAGCACAUGACGAAACCAGCUCAGCUUUUAGUGAAAAUGCAAUAACAAUCAACGAAGCACCCUAAAGGACGACGCUAUUCACUAAAAGAAAAAAAUUAUGGCAUUCUCGCUUUACAAAUAGAGUCCGAAGUGCUAAUACAGGCUGUUGUGUGAAUAUUUUUCACUUCCACCUGGCAAAACGAUGAAAAGAUUAUUAGGCGAAAUUAAACUUACCACAGUGGCAUAAACACAAUUAUAUUCGAAGGAAUUAAACACAAAAUAACCAAUCAGAUGGCAGUCGCUUUCGUAAAAACUAGUGCCUACGCCGAUUCUUAGGAUUACUUGUCAAGCGGAUCCCAGGCUCCCAUGAGUCGUGGCAAAAUGCCGGGAUAACGCACGGAAGAUGAUGAGGAAGGACCUUUCACAUCUCCAAACUUCAUGCAUUAACCGUAAAGACUAUGCGUCUCUGUAAUAUGGUACAAUUUUGACUUAUUGGACACGUAUUAGUUGUGUAUUCCGUAGCAUUCGUUUAUAAGACUGUUAGCUUAGUCUCCUGACGCAAAACAAUUACUUACAUAUUUCAUAUUCGCUAGGCUAGGUGCACGACGGGUGCUGCUGUCCUUAUUUUGUGGGCUUCUCUACGGGAGUGAAAUUAUCAAACUGAUGCUGCUAGAAUUCAUGUGGGACAUUCCAUAAUAUUAUGUGUGUUCUCCCUCCACCGACUGCACUUUGCUAAUAAUUUCAUUUUAACAUGUGCCUAAGCCUUUCUCACUUCAAGGACCGCACGGAAGACCAGCGCUGGCUUUAUAUCUAGCAUUACGCUGAGUUGGGUCCAUUUCGUGAUGCACACUUAACAUAUCAGAACCAAAACGUAUUGUUACUAAAAUUAUAGGCAAAAAGUUGUAUCUACUGAUAUACAUACAUACAUACAUAUAAUCACGCCUAUUUCCCGGAGGGGUAGGCAGAGACCACGGAUUUCCACUUGCUACGAUCCUGACAUACCUCUUUCGCUUCCUUCAAUUUCAUAACAUUCCUCAUACACCUCACAAUGUGUUUACAUUUUGUUAGAUAGAUAAUUCACUAUUUAUUACCGUUAUGUUAAAAUGUCAUUUUGGUCGGAUGUUCAUAUCCAAAGUUAUAUGGAAUUCGUGUCUUUUAUUUUCAUCAAAAUAAAUAUUGUUUUUUUGACAUUAGGGACCUUUAAUAUCUCCAAAUUGAAUAUAUUAUUGACGAAUCGAAUUUAAUUUCCUUGCUUCAUUUUUAUAUUGUACAGACUGUAUUGUAACGUUUAGUAUAAAUACAAGUUGGCAGAUAUUUAUUUUGAUAAAAAAAAACUAAUAUGUUUAAUAUAAAUUUAUGUCCAUCUGUACAUUUUUAAUGUCUGCUUUGGCUUAGGUUAUUUGAUUUUCUUAUAAAUUGUUUCAUACUAAAAUGCAUGGACUUUCAGCAAAAAAGAGAAAAUCUGUUAUAGACAAAUGGUGUACUUGUAAUAAAUUAUUUACCUACUGAAAGCUUGCUAAGCUUGAAAAUGUACAUAAAAAUAUCUUUAUUUAAUCGUUUUUAUUUAUUUAUUAAAUAAUAUCAUUAUCUCUAAGAGCCACGACGCUAAUUGCCAGAUCUCUUCUAAUUGCCAUGGUGUGAUAGUAAGCUCCCAACGCUAAUUGGUAGGCCUUCACCUGUUCUUAUUAGCUUUAUAUUGUAAAUGUUAACGAAAGCCUAGGCUCCAUGGAUUGUUGUGUAUGUACAUAUAAAAAAGUCUUUAUUUAAUCGGUUUUUUCUUAUUACAUAAUAUCUUUCCCUCUAAGAGCCAUGACGCUAAUCCUCCGGUCUCUUCCAAUUGCUAUCGUGUGAUACGUUUAUUGUGGUAUAAAGUAUAUGUUUUUUAUAAACUGAAAUAGAUAUCAUACACUGAAGAAAAAGUGACCAAGUCCACCACAAACAUAGUAGCAAUCAAUUUAUUGUACACAACACAGGUUUACAAAAAUACUUUAUCAGAAAUCAGAAAUAUUUAUUGUGUAAACUGUGUAGGUAUAAGAAGUUUAACUAGGAACAUUUUUUGAUAAACAUAAACAUAUAGUAAUGGAAGUACAAAGGCGAAUUUAUCCCUAUAAGGGAUCUCUUCCAAAUAACCUUUGAGUAGAUGAGUGGGAAACUAGGCAGGUUAAGUAAAGUUAUGUUUACCCAUGCAUGAGGUAGAUAUUGCCUCCUGUAUUUGUAUAUGUUGCGAUGUUUUCCUCAUGUAAAUGUUAUAUCGACAUGUGUAGUAAACUUUUGGCUCCUGUAUUUGUAAAUGUGACGAUGUUUUCUUCAUGUAAAUGUUAUAUCGACUUGUGUAAUAAACUUUUGAAUUUUAAAUUAUGAAAUAUCAACUAUCUUUUCUUUCCAAUUUAUACUCACCUUAUUAUUUUAUUUUAUCCAGUAUUUAACGAGCUACUUUAUUAUAAUUUUCUUGUUAAAAUCAUGCUUUGUAUAACAUUGUAUUGUACUUACUUUUCCUGUAUGUCUUUACAAUAUGUGCUUGCCAAUAUAUCUUACAUCAAGCAAAUAUUAUAAUAAAGUUGUUGAUUAAUGGGUAC
Cydia strobilella is the source of this 3541-nucleotide long non-coding RNA. RefSeq lists it as uncharacterized. The transcript has 7 exons. The record is from RefSeq and is a predicted model, not a curated record. Lineage: Eukaryota; Metazoa; Arthropoda; Insecta; Lepidoptera; Tortricidae.